GACGAACGCUGGCGGCAUGCCUAACACAUGCAAGUCGAACGAAGGCUUCGGCCUUAGUGGCGCACGGGUGCGUAACGCGUGGGAAUCUGCCCUUAGGUUCGGAAUAACAGUUAGAAAUGACUGCUAAUACCGGAUGAUGACGUAAGUCCAAAGAUUUAUCGCCUGAGGAUGAGCCCGCGUAGGAUUAGCUAGUUGGUGUGGUAAAGGCGCACCAAGGCGACGAUCCUUAGCUGGUCUGAGAGGAUGAUCAGCCACACUGGGACUGAGACACGGCCCAGACUCCUACGGGAGGCAGCAGUGGGGAAUAUUGGACAAUGGGCGCAAGCCUGAUCCAGCAAUGCCGCGUGAGUGAUGAAGGCCUUAGGGUUGUAAAGCUCUUUUACCCGUGAUGAUAAUGACAGUAGCGGGAGAAUAAGCCCCGGCUAACUCCGUG
This 433-nucleotide ribosomal RNA is filed under the name uncultured bacterium. RNAcentral describes it as "partial 16S ribosomal RNA". It matches the Rfam family "Bacterial small subunit ribosomal RNA", at positions 28 to 507 of the family's 1533-position model. The record is from RNAcentral.